GACGAACGCUGGCGGCGUGCUUAACACAUGCAAGUCGAACGGAAAGGCCCUGCUUUUGUGGGGUGCUCGAGUGGCGAACGGGUGAGUAACACGUGAGUAACCUGCCCUUGACUUUGGGAUAACUUCAGGAAACUGGGGCUAAUACCGGAUAGGAGCUCCUGCUGCAUGGUGGGGGUUGGAAAGUUUCGGCGGUUGGGGAUGGACUGGCGGCUUAUCAGCUUGUUGGUGGGGUAGUGGCUUACCAAGGCUUUGACGGGUAGCCGGCCUGAGAGGGCGACCGGCCACAUGGGGACUGAGAUACGGCCCAGACUCCUACGGGAGGCAGCAGUGGGGAAUAUUGCACAAUGGGCGGAAGCCUGAUGCAGCAACGCCGCGUGCGGGAUGACGGCCUUCGGGUUGUAAACCGCUUUCGCCUGUGACGAAGCGUGAGUGACGGUAAUGGGUAAAGAAGCACCGGCUAACUACGUG
RNAcentral lists this ribosomal RNA (468 nucleotides) under uncultured bacterium. Its description in RNAcentral is "partial 16S ribosomal RNA". It matches the Rfam family "Bacterial small subunit ribosomal RNA", at positions 28 to 507 of the family's 1533-position model. The record is from RNAcentral.